CCCUACGGGACGCAGCAGUGGGGAAUAUUGGGCAAUGGGCGCAAGCCUGACCCAGCAACGCCGCGUGAGUGAAGAGGUAUUUCGGUAUGUAAAGCUCUAUCAGCAGGGAAGAUAAUGACGGUACCUGACUAAGAAGCCCCGGCUAACUACGUGCCAGCAGCCGCGGUAAUACGUAGGGGGCAAGCGUUAUCCGGAUUUACUGGGUGUAAAGGGUGCGUAGGUGGCAGGGCAAGUCAGAUGUGAAAGCCCGGGGCUCAACCCCGGUACUGCAUUUGAAACUGUCCCGCUGGAGUGCAGGAGAGGUA
Molecule: ribosomal RNA, 305 nt
Filed under: uncultured bacterium
Lineage: Bacteria
Description: bacterial SSU rRNA
Rfam family: Bacterial small subunit ribosomal RNA
Source: RNAcentral